Molecule: unclassified non-coding RNA, 156 nt
Organism: Macaca mulatta (Rhesus monkey)
Lineage: Eukaryota; Metazoa; Chordata; Mammalia; Primates; Cercopithecidae
Rfam family: Metazoan signal recognition particle RNA
About the family: The signal recognition particle (SRP) is a universally conserved ribonucleoprotein. It is involved in the co-translational targeting of proteins to membranes.
Source: Ensembl
UGCUGACUGGGUGCCCACACUAAGUUCGGCAUCAAUAUGGUGACUUCCUGGGAGCGGGGUCCACCAAGUUGCCUAAGGAUGGCUGAACUGGCCCAGGUCAGAAAUGGAACAGGUCAGAACUCCAGCAGCGACUAGUAGUGGGACUGUGCCUGGGCA